RNAcentral lists this ribosomal RNA (465 nucleotides) under uncultured bacterium. RNAcentral's name for it is "partial 16S ribosomal RNA". It matches the Rfam family "Bacterial small subunit ribosomal RNA", at positions 28 to 523 of the family's 1533-position model. The record is from RNAcentral.
AACGAACGCUGGCGGCAGGCUUAACACAUGCAAGUCGAGCGAUCCCUUCGGGGAUAGCGGCGGACGGGUGAGUAACGCGUGGGAACGUGCCCAGAGGUACGGAAUAGCCCCGGGAAACUGGGAGUAAUGCCGUAUGAGCCCGCCUCGUAGCGAUACGGGGCGGGGAAAGAUUUAUCGCCUUUGGAUCGGCCCGCGUCGGAUUAGGUAGUUGGUGGGGUAACGGCCCACCAAGCCGACGAUCCGUAGCUGGUUUGAGAGGAUGAUCAGCCACACUGGGACUGAGACACGGCCCAGACUCCUACGGGAGGCAGCAGUGGGGAAUCUUGGACAAUGGGGGCAACCCUGAUCCAGCCAUGCCGCGUGAGCGAUGAAGGCCUUAGGGUUGUAAAGCUCUUUCAGCGGGGAAGAUAGUGACGGUACCCGCAGAAGAAGCCCCGGCUAACUCCGUGCCAGCCGCCGCCGUAA